Rana temporaria (common frog) is the source of this 225-nucleotide long non-coding RNA. RefSeq lists it as uncharacterized. The transcript has 3 exons. The record is from RefSeq and is a predicted model, not a curated record. Lineage: Eukaryota; Metazoa; Chordata; Amphibia; Anura; Ranidae.
AUUCCACACAAGAAGAUCACACCAUCCCUCCAUAUUGCAAGAGAGGAGAUCCAAUCGAUAUAGAAUUUGAGGUUAUAUCAUCAGAAGACGAAGAGACGGAUGUGAAGGAUGAUCAGCAGUCUAUGGAGGACGAUGGAAUAAUAAGGAUAGUAAUCGAUGAUGACACUCCUACAGAGAUCAGCACAGUAGAUGGACGGGAGAUGAGGAAAACCUCAGAGGAUUGUA